Molecule: transfer RNA, 69 nt
Filed under: Anomaloglossus roraima
Lineage: Eukaryota; Metazoa; Chordata; Amphibia; Anura; Aromobatidae
Description: tRNA-Gly
Source: RNAcentral
AUUUCUCUAGUAUAAUUAGUACCAAUGACUUCCAAUCAUUCUAUCUUGGUUAGACCCCAGGGAGAAAUA